GAAGUAUCUAAAAACUAAAGCUUCUAACUUUAAGUUCAAGCGACAAAAUUUCGUUUAUACUUCU
Molecule: transfer RNA, 64 nt
Filed under: Cryptocephalus lusitanicus
Lineage: Eukaryota; Metazoa; Arthropoda; Insecta; Coleoptera; Chrysomelidae
Description: tRNA-Ser
Source: RNAcentral